CCCGGGCUCCGCACCUGGCUGGCCGCACCUGGCAGCUGGCUGGCCCUGCGCCUCGCGCCUGCGCUCUGCGCCCUCAGGGUCCUCGCUGGGCGUGCGAAGCCCGGCCAUGCUCCGGCCCCAUGCCUCCCGGCUGCCGCCUCCAAGGUGUCGGUUUUGGGUCAUUUAACGGCCGCUGUGGCGCAUGCCCUGAAGACAUUUUCCCACCUAUCUUCCGAACCCUGGGGAGGACCACGACCCUCAGCCCCACAGCAUCCCAGACCCUCGCGCUGCGUUGACCUGCCCCUGCGGCGACUGUUGGAUGCGACCCAGACUGGCGGCCAGACUGCGUGCUCGGCGGCUGUUAGGUCCGUGGCGUCCCGUGUGCGAGGCUCCUCGUGCGCGGAAGAGACGUGA
RNAcentral lists this long non-coding RNA (393 nucleotides) under Mus musculus (house mouse). RNAcentral's name for it is "predicted gene 9857 (ENSMUSG00000051638.3)". The record is from RNAcentral. Lineage: Eukaryota; Metazoa; Chordata; Mammalia; Rodentia; Muridae.